Molecule: ribosomal RNA, 440 nt
Filed under: uncultured bacterium
Lineage: Bacteria
Description: partial 16S ribosomal RNA
Rfam family: Bacterial small subunit ribosomal RNA
Source: RNAcentral
CCUACGGGGGGCAGCAGUGGGGAAUAUUGCACAAUGGGGGGAACCCUGAUGCAGCGACGCCGCGUGAGUGAAGAAGUAUUUCGGUAUGUAAAGCUCUAUCAGCAGGGAAGAAAAUGACGGUACCUGACUAAGAAGCCCCGGCUAACUACGUGCCAGCAGCCGCGGUAAUACGUAGGGGGCAAGCGUUAUCCGGAUUUACUGGGUGUAAAGGGAGCGUAGACGGCAGAGCAAGUCUGAAGUGAAAGCCCGCGGCCCAACUGCGGGACUGCUUUGGAAACUGCCCGGCUAGAGUGCUGGAGAGGCAGGCGGAAUUCCUGGUGUAGCGGUGAAAUGCGUAGAUAUCAGGAGGAACACCGGCGGCGAAGGCGGCCUGCUGGACCGCGACUGACGUUGAGGCUCGAAAGCGUGGGGAGCGAACAGGAUUAGAUACCCUAGUAGUC